CCUACGGGGGACAGCAGUCGAGAAUCAUUCACAAUGGGGGAAACCCUGAUGGUGCGACGCCGCGUGGGGGAAUGAAGGUCUUCGGAUUGUAAACCCCUGUCAUGUGGGAGCAAAUUAAAAAGAUAGUACCACACGAGGAAGAGACGGCUAACUCUGUGCCAGCAGCCGCGGUAAUACAGAGGUCUCAAGCGUUGUUCGGAAUCACUGGGCGUAAAGCGUGCGUAGGCUGUUUCGUAAGUCGUGUGUGAAAGGCGCGGGCUCAACCCGCGGACGGCACAUGAUACUGCGAGACUAGAGUAAUGGAGGGGGAACCGGAAUUCUCGGUGUAGCAGUGAAAUGCGUAGAUAUCGAGAGGAACACUCGUGGCGAAGGCGGGUUCCUGGACAUUAACUGACGCUGAGGCACGAAGGCCAGGGGAGCGAAAGGGAUUAGAUACCCGUGUAGUC
RNAcentral lists this ribosomal RNA (446 nucleotides) under uncultured bacterium. RNAcentral's name for it is "partial 16S ribosomal RNA". It matches the Rfam family "Bacterial small subunit ribosomal RNA", at positions 338 to 795 of the family's 1533-position model. The record is from RNAcentral.